CAUGGUUUCGCCUUUAAUGUGAGUUUGUAAAUGUUGUACACUACACCUAUUUCAGAGCAUACUGAGGCACAAGGUUUGUCCAUGUUCACUGCAAAGGGGAUAAGGUGCUGAGUGCAUUCUGAAUUGCUUGAGUUCAGCAAGACUUGACCAUACUGACUUUCAUGACUUUUUCUUUGGAGUAAUGAAGGAUCUUAAUAACUUGGAUCAAAAAUUACUCAAUCAAGAUCUGGAUGUGUUGCAGCCUUCUGAUGCAAGUACAGGAUCAACAUCUGCUAUAAAACCUGGAAAAUUGUGGAUAAACAGAACUUCUUUCCCCAGGAAGCAGGAGGAAGCAGGAGGAAAUGCCAGCAUUUGUCUGAAUGUCUGAAUGUCUGAAGCAGAGGACCUUUGAGCACAUGUCUAGGCUUAUACUAAAUAAUAAAAAGUCCGUGAACUGGUCCUGAGGUUAAUCU
This 452-nucleotide long non-coding RNA is filed under the name Cyanistes caeruleus (blue tit). Its description in RNAcentral is "lncRNA (ENSCCEG00000010674.1)". Lineage: Eukaryota; Metazoa; Chordata; Aves; Passeriformes; Paridae. The record is from RNAcentral.